Long non-coding RNA from Cyprinus carpio carpio, 4760 nucleotides. Lineage: Eukaryota; Metazoa; Chordata; Actinopteri; Cypriniformes; Cyprinidae. The record is from Ensembl.
AUGCCGCCCAAAUGUUCACGCAAAGAAAGGAGGCAUACCUUUUAUUCUAGUUGUAGUAUUGUUGUUAACGCCGCUGCCAUGUCAUAUAGACGCUGUGUGUUUCACUGUGACAGAAAAACUACUUUAGUUGGCCUUCCAAAAGAGGACGAUAUCUGCUUCGUCAUGCCUGGAGCUGAUCCGUGCUGGUCUUUGAGGAAAUACAUCAACAUCAACUGUGGAUCACCGAAUCGGCUUUCACCGUGGAUGAAGCGGAGUGCAGCCCGGGGUCAUCACAUAUGGUUGCCGCAAGCACAAGAAUGGUGUAAGUUUACAUCUAUCAGCAGGGGCUAUCUGGUCAAUAUUAACCAGCCAAACCCUGUGAGAUAUUUUAGGUAAGUAGACUAAAUGGUCUUUUUUAAUAUUGUAAUAUUUCUGACCAUACUUAGAGGAGCUUUCUGAAUUCAUAUGGUCCUGCAUGCAUAAAGAUAUUCAGGUAAUGGUGAUAAUUUGGCCAUAAGAUUAUCUGUUAAAUGUUCAUCAUAUAAACUGGUUAACCAGCACAAUUUAGCCAAUAUUCUGUAAUAUGGCAUAUGACUGUAUUAAUAUUCACAGUAAAUUUUCAUUUGUAGCAGGCGGCACACAUUUUGGAAAAAGAUGAUGGGUAAGUAAAUGAUGAUGGGUGAGCUAUCCUUUUAAUAAGAAUAUGGACUUUAAUUAGAAAAUGAUGUACUUGUAAACAUGAACAAUAAAAGCAAGAGAUAAAAAGCCUAAUUAACCCUGAUUUGAAAAGUAUACAUAUAAAUGACUCCGUUAAUUAAGAAAGGAGAAAGAGGGAAAUACAAUGCAUCAUUUUGGAUUGCACUCAGAGAAGGUUAAAGAAUGAUUAGACGGAUAGAAGUCCCGUAGCAGUUGUCUGAGGAGCGCAGAAGUCCCUGGUGUGAAAUGUGCACUAGCUGAUCAAUAUUCCUGUCAGGCUGCAUUAAUCUCCAUAUAGAAUGUCACCUUAAUGCCAGAGAUACACAGUGGUUUCUGCUGCUGGGACGCCUGUUAAAGGUAUGGAUCAGAGCCAGUGUUCAGCUGAUGCUUCGCCUGCACUGCCAAUCUCAGGGCAGUUUUGAGCCAGCAUUUCACUCUUCUUGCUACAGUACUGUAUGUUCAAGAAUGGAAAUUCAAAACUAGAACUCUCAAGUUUGAAGUUUUUCUGUUUGUAUCUUUCCAUAGAAAAGUAAACUAUUUACAUUUUUGUGUAAGACUUGGAUUUGAGAGUCUUUUUAGCAACUUCUGGGUAAUAAAACGUUCCACAGGGUUAAAUGAAAUUUUUAAUAAAUUAGUAGAAAAUUGGCUGCAAUUUACUCACCCUCAGGCCAUCCAAGAUAUAGAUGAGUGUGAUUAUUUAUAAGUCUGUCUCGUCAGACAUUGUUUAAUGGACUGGAGCCAUAUGGAUUACUUGAGGAUUAUUGUAAUGUUUUCUUCAAAUGUUUGGACUCUCAUUCUGACGGCACCCAUUCACUGCAGAGGAUCCAUUGGUGAGCAAGUGAUGUAAAGCUGCAUUUCUCCAAGUCUAUUCUGAUGAUAAAAACAAACUCAUCUACAACUUGGAUGCCCUCAGGGUGAGUACAUUUUUUAGCAAAUUUUCAUUUUUGGUUGAAACUAUUCCUCUGUACACUUUUUAAAAUAAAGGUUCUUCAUUGGUAUUUAUGGUUACAUGAAGACCCUUUAACAUCCAUAGAACCUUUCCAAGGCACAAAAGGCUAUUUAAAGCUGCAGUCCGUAAGUUUUUCCUCUUUGUUGCAUUUCUGUUUGAAAACCUGCAAUUGCAGUUAUUUGUGGAAUUACGUUCCUUGCGUGGGUUGUGCAUCGUCACGGCUCCAGCGCGGAUGAAUCUAAUGUUUUAAGGAGUAUGUAUUGCUGCCAGUCACCACAUUGGUGUGGAUACUGUACGUAGGAAUCACAGAUUCUAUUAUAUAUAUACUAAUUUAUCAUAUAUACUAAUAUAUGACCCAAAUAAGAAUUUUUAACUGAUAUUUUCAUCUGAACAGGUAAGUAACAAGUCUGCCACAUUUGUUCUGACCAACUGAGGAAAAAUGAUUACAAUAGAUCACGCUACCAAUUGUGAUUAAAUCUAACGAUCGAUUAUCAGCGUUUAGAUUUCAGUUUCUGUGCAGUCUAAUCUCUAAUUUUCAUACCAUUUGAAUUUCAUAUUAGGAAAUUCUUUUAACCCAAAAAGCUAAUUAUGCUCCCUUCGAACUGGUUGUCUUUAAAAUACAAACCUUGUGUAAUCCCAGGAUAUCUGUAAUCAGAAGCAUAUUUAUGACUGGAAUAUAAUUUAAUGUCAUUCACAUGUGUUUCAUAAACACAUAAUCCUUUAUAGAUUACAAUUCGCCAUCAAAACGAUAAAUUUAAUUAUUCCAGCUGCUGUGAGAAAAGGCUAUAAAUGAUCUGCAGGAUCCUCACAUGCGAUAGCCUAGAAGCCGGGACAACUUCUUUAUGUUUACAGACAUGAUGUAAUGAUGCAGUGCCAUGCUCGAAUUUUUGGUUUUUAAAUGGCAUUGACAUUAAAAUCCCCUUUUAGAACGUUUAUUUUUUAAGAGUGUACAUAGUAAAAGCAGUACAUUAUCCUGGACAAUCCUACAAGACAUCCACCUUAUUAAGGGAACAUGCACUUAGAAGCCGAUUAGCAUGCAACAAACAGGACUUCAGCUGUCAUGGGAACUGUGUUCAAGAGGUUAACUGCAGUCAUUACAUCUGCACAGACAGUUGUAAGCAAAGUUUAAUAGAUUUUCGCGGAACCCAAACAGUUGAGCUCUGUGUUGCUAACAAAACUUUAAUAUUUUCACAUAAAUGCUGGUGUAAUUCAUAGACGCUUACAAGGGCCAAACAGACAGAACUGCUUUUUUGUUAUAGUGUUUCGGUGACAACAGAACCACAAACCUUUGCAGCUAUGAAUAAACAUGCAAAGGGAUCUGAAAGAAGUGCAGGAACGAUUCUGUGGAGAAGUGCAAUUAAAACGAGAAAAACACACUGCAUCCGUCUAAAGAUUAGUGUUUCUGCCUUAAUCAAGUGUGGAUGAAUAUAGAUUUUUUAAGGGGCUUAUUUACCUUUUUAGAAGGAGACUUUCCCUUUUUUUUCUUCAGUGUAUUAGAGAUAUUCUUGUAUCCCAGUGGCAAACGGGAAAGAAUGUUUUGGAUGCAUUCCAUAUGAAAUCCCCACUUGAUUAGAUUUAAUAAGCUUAUGGGCCAAUCGUAAUACGUUUGAAAUGAUAUUGAAGAAGCCUUUCAAAAACCUCUCUUAAUACUACAAAAGGACAAUAAAAUUGCUGCUGAAAGACACAAUUCAUAAACAUAAUAUUGAGUUAAAGGAUAUGUAAAAAUUGGUUUAGAAACCAGUGCAAACAAAAAUAAGUGUUUUGCUUUGCUUUACUUUUUUGGACUGUUUUCAGUUGUAAACAAUGAUUGACCUGUGCAUAUUUCGCUCCUGAUUCAGACUUUUUCACUGGAGAAAGCAAUGCUAUAGAGGAUUUGUUAGAGGUAUUUUGGCCAGAAGCAAUGGUUUGAAGUUUAAAAAACUUAAUGAUGUAUCUGUUACUUACAAACAUGCAAGACAUGAUGGAUCUGAUGGACUGGAGUGGCGUAGAUUACCUGUGGAUUAUUGUGAUGUAUUUAUCAGCUGUCUGAUGGCACCCAUUCACUGCAGAGGAUCCAUUGGAACCAAUCUGUUCUGCUGUAGAAACAAACAAAUCUUAGAUGGCCUUCUAGCUAUUUUUUUAUUUUUGGGAGAACUAUUUCUUUAAGUCUGUUAUUGGUAAUGAAAUGAGUGGGUUCAUGUAUUUUCCCUAGAAUUGGGUUUAACUGUUCAGCCUAAAAAAAGCCUAAGAAAUAUUUCAACUUGCUUUUAUUUUGUUCUCUGAGCUGCUCUUUUACACAAAGCAAAAAUGCAUGGUGAUCAUAGAUAUUAAGUUCAGUUGUUGAAAAUCAGGAUUUGAACCCGGUUCCCCUUUCACACUAAAUGAAAGCUGUACCAUUAGACUAACACAUUUUAUAUAACCAGCUCUUAAAAACAUGUUUUCCCCUAUGGUCAUGUGUUAUUUUUCAGGACUGUGACUGGUGACUUUUAAAAAGGAGUGCAUGAUGCGCCUGAGAAUAAGCACUUCAUUUAUCAGCUUCAUCAUGUUUCUGCACGACUGCUGUUCCAGCAGAUACCUGAAGUGACCAGGGCAAGGUGUCCAUCGUCAGAAUGUAAACUCUAUAUGCUUUUAAACUGGAUGACCUUUCCUAAUAACUAAAAUCUUUUUUUUUUUUUAUGACUUUCACAAGAAAAAAAUCAGUAGAAAUGAUUGAAAACCUCUCGCUGCAGUCUGGUAAUGGUUUUUAAAAGGUUUUAUAGUAUUUCUAUGGAAAUGGAGCAUGCUUUUCCUGAUGCUUGAUGUUCAACCCUUGAUGUCAUAACACACAAAAAGCAGCAUCCGCUGAUCUAUAACAGAGAACUGGAUUGCUCAUGAUGCCAUAAAAUUGAAGCCACUGCACCGCCAUAUUGGUAUUCCUUAGUAUUCCCAUUCUAUUGGAUUCGAAAACAUCACCUAAUAAGUCAGUGUUUUUGUAUCUACAUUCUCCCUGUACAUUCUUACAAUGCAAACGUCCUAUGCAUGUAAAUGGUUAUUUGUGUAAUGCUGGGAAUUUCCCCUGUGUAAUAAAAAGUUACAUUCAUAUACAUUACAGUAUCAAACAUCAGAUGAACGUGAUUAACAUCAAAUGGAUGAGAUCCUCAACGUGUAUAUUAUAAAU